UAGGGAAUCUUGCGCAAUGGGCGAAAGCCUGACGCAGCAACGCCGCGUGGGGGAUGAAGGCUCUCGGGUUGUAAACCCCUUUCAGCAGGGACGAACACUGACGGUACCUGCAGAAGAAGCCCCGGCCAACUACGUGCCAGCAGCCGCGGUAAUACGUAGGGGGCAAGCGUUGUCCGGAUUUAUUGGGCGUAAAGAGCUCGUAGGCGGCUCGGUAAGUCGGAUGUGAAACCUCCAGGCUCAACCUGGAGACGCCAUCUGAUACUGCCGUGGCUUGAGUCCGGUAGAGGAGCAGGGAAUUCCUGGUGUAGCGGUGAAAUGCGCAGAUAUCAGGAGGAACACCAGCGGCGAAGGCGCUGCUCUGGGCCGGUACUGACGCUGAGGAGCGAAAGCGUGGGGAGCGAACAG
Molecule: ribosomal RNA, 405 nt
Filed under: uncultured bacterium
Lineage: Bacteria
Description: bacterial SSU rRNA
Rfam family: Bacterial small subunit ribosomal RNA
Source: RNAcentral